Molecule: ribosomal RNA, 930 nt
Filed under: uncultured Acidobacteriaceae bacterium
Lineage: Bacteria; Pseudomonadati; Acidobacteriota; Terriglobia; Terriglobales; Acidobacteriaceae
Description: bacterial SSU rRNA
Rfam family: Bacterial small subunit ribosomal RNA
Source: RNAcentral
AGAGUUUGAUCCUGGCUCAGAAUCAACGCUGGCGGCAUGCCUAACACAUGCAAGUCGAACGCGAAAGUGGCUUCGGCCGCGAGUAGAGUGGCAAACGGGUGAGUAACGCGUGGGUGACCUGCCUUCGAGUGGGGGAUAACGUUUCGAAAGGAACGCUAAUACCGCAUAACAUCCUGUUCUUGAACGGAUGGAGAUCAAAGCCGGGGAUCGCAAGACCUGGCGCUUGAAGAGGGGCCCGCGUCCGAUUAGCUAGUUGGUGGGGUAACGGCUCACCAAGGCGACGAUCGGUAGCCGGCCUGAGAGGGCGGACGGCCACACUGGGACUGAGACACGGCCCAGACUCCUACGGGAGGCAGCAGUGGGGAAUUGUUCGCAAUGGGCGCAAGCCUGACGACGCAAUGCCGCGUGGAGGACGAAGAUCUUCGGGUCGUAAACUCCUGUCGAGCGGGACGAAUGGCCUGGGGCUUAAUACGCCCUGGGAGUGACGGUACCGCUAAAGGAAGCCCCGGCUAACUCCGUGCCAGCAGCCGCGGUAAUACGGGGGGGGCAAGCGUUGUUCGGAAUUACUGGGCGUAAAGGGCGCGUAGGCGGCCUUCUAAGUCAGACGUGAAAUCCCUCGGCUCAACCGGGGAACUGCGUCUGAUACUGGAGGGCUUGGAUCCGGGAGAGGGAUGCGGAAUUCCAGGUGUAGCGGUGAAAUGCGUAGAUAUCUGGAGGAACACCGGUGGCGAAGGCGGCAUCCUGGACCGGCAUCGACGCUGAGGCGCGAAAGCCAGGGGAGCAAACGGGAUUAGAUACCCCGGUAGUCCUGGCCCUAAACGAUGAAUGCUUGGUGUGGCGGGUAUCGAUCCCUGCCGUGCCGGAGCUAACGCGUUAAGCAUUCCGCCUGGGGAGUACGGUCGCAAAGCUGAAACUCAAAGGAAUUGACGG